UAGGGAAUCUUCGGCAAUGGACGAAAGUCUGACCGAGCAACGCCGCGUGAGUGAAGAAGGUCUUCGGAUCGUAAAACUCUGUUGUUAGAGAAGAACAAGGACGUUAGUAACUGAACGUCCCCUGACGGUAUCUAACCAGAAAGCCACGGCUAACUACGUGCCAGCAGCCGCGGUAAUACGUAGGUGGCAAGCGUUUUCCGGAUUUAUUGGGCGUAAAGCGAGCGCAGGCGGUUUCUUAAGUCUGAUGUGAAAGCCCCCGGCUCAACCGGGGAGGGUCAUUGGAAACUGGGGGACUGGGGUGCAGAAGAGGAGAGUGGAAUUCCAUGUGUAGCGGUGAAAUGCGUGGAUAUAUGGAGGAACACCAGUGGCGAAGGCGGCUCUCUGGUCUGUAACUGACGCUGAGGCUCGAAAGCGUGGGGAGCAAACAGG
RNAcentral lists this ribosomal RNA (429 nucleotides) under Gemmatimonadota bacterium. RNAcentral's name for it is "Gemmatimonadetes bacterium partial 16S ribosomal RNA". It matches the Rfam family "Bacterial small subunit ribosomal RNA", at positions 355 to 776 of the family's 1533-position model. The record is from RNAcentral. Lineage: Bacteria; Pseudomonadati; Gemmatimonadota.